CCUACGGGAGGCAGCAGUGGGGGAUAUUGCACAAUGGGGGAAACCCUGAUGCAGCGACGCCGCGUGGGUGAAGAAGCGCCUCGGCGCGUAAAGCCCUGUCAGCAGGGAAGAAAAUGACGGUACCUGAAGAAGAAGCCCCGGCUAACUACGUGCCAGCAGCCGCGGUAAUACGGAGGGGGCAAGCGUUAUCCGGAUUUACUGGGUGUAAAGGGGGCGCAGACGGCGAUGCAAGCCAGGAGUGAAAGCCCGGGGCCCAACCCCGGGACUGCUCUUGGAACUGCGUGGCUAGAGUGCAGGAGGGGCAGGCGGAAGUCGUGGUGUAGCGGUGAAAUGCGUAGAUAUCAGGAGGAACACCGGUGGCGAAGGCGGCCUGCUGGACUGCAACUGACGUUGAGGCCCGAAGGCGUGGGGAGCAAACAGGAUUAGAUACCCGUGUAGUC
RNAcentral lists this ribosomal RNA (440 nucleotides) under uncultured bacterium. Its description in RNAcentral is "partial 16S ribosomal RNA". It matches the Rfam family "Bacterial small subunit ribosomal RNA", at positions 338 to 795 of the family's 1533-position model. The record is from RNAcentral.